This 443-nucleotide ribosomal RNA is filed under the name uncultured bacterium. RNAcentral describes it as "partial 16S ribosomal RNA". It matches the Rfam family "Bacterial small subunit ribosomal RNA", at positions 338 to 795 of the family's 1533-position model. The record is from RNAcentral.
CCUACGGGUGGCAGCAGUGGGGAAUAUUGAGCAAUGGGCGCAAGCCUGACCCAGCCAAGCCGCGUGAAGGAAGACGGCUUUCGGGUUGUAAACUUCUUUUCUCAGGGACGAAACCAUUGCCGCUACCUGAGGAAUAAGCCGCGGCUAACUACGUGCCAGCAGCCGCGGUAAUACGUAGGUGGCCAGCAUUAUCCGGAUUUACUGGGUGUACAGGGCGUGUAGGCGGGACUGCAAGUCAGAUGGGAAACCCAUGGGCUCAACCUAUGGCCUGCAGUUGAAACUGUAGGUCUUGAGUACUGGAGAGGCAGACGGAAUGCCUAGUGUAGCGGUGAAAUGCGUAGAGAUUAGGAGGAACACCAGUGGCGAAGGCAGUCUGCUGGACAGCAACUGACGCUGAGGCGCGAAAGCGUGGGGAGCAAACAGGAUUAGAUACCCGGGUAGUC